RNAcentral lists this small RNA (58 nucleotides) under Salix viminalis (osier). Lineage: Eukaryota; Viridiplantae; Streptophyta; Magnoliopsida; Malpighiales; Salicaceae. The record is from RNAcentral.
UAUAGUUAGAGAUGAAAAUUUUCUAUUGGAUUGCUUAACAGAGACACGAAGAACUAUA